CCUACGGGUGGCAGCAGUGAGGAAUAUUGGUCAAUGGACGAGAGUCUGAACCAGCCAAGUAGCGUGAAGGAUGACUGCCCUAUGGGUUGUAAACUUCUUUUAUAUGGGAAUAAAAUGUUCCACGUGUGGGAUUUUGUAUGUACCAUAUGAAUUAGGAUCGGCUAACUCCGUGCCAGCAGCCGCGGUAAUACGGAGGAUCCGAGCGUUAGCCGGUUUUAUUGGGUUUAAAGGGAGCGUAGGGGGAUUGUUAAGUCAGUUGUGAAAGUUUGCGGCUCAACCGUAAAAUUGCAGUUGAAACUGGCAGUCUUGAGUACAGUAGAGGUGGGCGGAAUUCGAGGUGUAGCGGUGGAAUGCUUAGAUAUCACGAAGAACUCCGAUUGCGAAGGCAGCUCACUGGACUGCAACUGACGCUGAGGCUCGAAAGUGUGGGUAGCGAACAGGAUUAGAUACCCCUGUAGUC
RNAcentral lists this ribosomal RNA (460 nucleotides) under uncultured bacterium. RNAcentral describes it as "partial 16S ribosomal RNA". It matches the Rfam family "Bacterial small subunit ribosomal RNA", at positions 338 to 795 of the family's 1533-position model. The record is from RNAcentral.